This 254-nucleotide ribosomal RNA is filed under the name uncultured bacterium. Its description in RNAcentral is "partial 16S ribosomal RNA". It matches the Rfam family "Bacterial small subunit ribosomal RNA", at positions 524 to 776 of the family's 1533-position model. The record is from RNAcentral.
UACGUAGGGAGCGAGCGUUGUCCGGAUUCAUUGGGCGUAAAGAGCUCGUAGGCGGCUUGGCAAGUCGGGUGUGAAAACUCCGGGCUCAACCUGGAGACGCCACCCGAUACUGCCAUGGCUAGAGUCCGGUAGGGGACCACGGAAUUCCUGGUGUAGCGGUGAAAUGCGCAGAUAUCAGGAGGAACACCGGUGGCGAAGGCGGUGGUCUGGGCCGGAACUGACGCUGAGGAGCGAAAGCGUGGGGAGCGAACAGG